Molecule: transfer RNA, 109 nt
Filed under: Rhodococcus sp. PvP104
Lineage: Bacteria; Bacillati; Actinomycetota; Actinomycetes; Mycobacteriales; Nocardiaceae
Description: tRNA-Leu
Source: RNAcentral
GAGCUUCAACGGUUCGUAAAUGUUCCCAAUUUUGUCGGUUGCAGCAAACGUCGAGAAGAGCAAACUUAAAAUCCGUCAAGUGUCGGUUCGAGUCCGACUGGGGGCACCA